RNAcentral lists this ribosomal RNA (475 nucleotides) under uncultured organism. RNAcentral describes it as "partial 16S ribosomal RNA". It matches the Rfam family "Bacterial small subunit ribosomal RNA", at positions 334 to 800 of the family's 1533-position model. The record is from RNAcentral.
CACUCCUACGGGAGGCAGCAGUGGGGAAUUUUGGACCAUGGGCGAAAGCCUGAUCCAGCAAUGCCGCGUGAGUGAAGAAGGCCUUCGGGUUGUAAAGCUCUUUUGUCAGGGAAGAAACGGUGAAAGCUAAUAUCUUUUGCUAAUGACGGUACCUGAAGAAUAAGCACCGGCUAACUACGUGCCAGCAGCCGCGGUAAUACGUAGGGUGCAAGCGUUAAUCGGAAUUACUGGGCGUAAAGCGUGCGCAGGCGGUUUUGUAAGUCUGAUGUGAAAUCCCCGGGCUCAACCUGGGAAUUGCAUUGGAGACUCCAAGGCUAGAAUCUGGCAGAGGGGGGUAGAAUUCCACGUGUAGCAGUGAAAUGCGUAGAUAUGUGGAGGAACACCGAUGGCGAAGGCAGCCCCCUGGGUCAAGAUUGACGCUCAUGCACGAAAGCGUGGGGAGCAAACAGGAUUAGAAACCCGUGUAGUCCCAUGA